UUUAUGAAGGGUUUGAUCUUGGCUCAGAACGAACGCUGGCGGCGUGGAUUAGGCAUGCAAGUCGAACGAGGAUAUAUCCUUCGGGAUAUAAGCCGAGUGGCGCAAGGGUGAGUAAUGCAUAGAUUACCUGCCUCUAGGAUAAGGACAACUUUGUGAAAACGAAGCUAAUACUUAAUAAUACAAAAGAAAAUAAUUUUCUUUUGUCAAUGGGAGGGUAGCAAUACCUUUUGCCUAGAGAGGGGUUUAUGUCCUAUCAGCUUGUUGGUGGGGUAAUGGCCUACCAAGGCGAAGACGGGUAGCCGGUCUUAGAGGAUGGUCGGCCACACUGGGACUGAGACACUGCCCAGACUUCUACGGAAGGCUGCAGUCGAGAAUCUUUCGCAAUGCCCGAAAGGGUGACGAAGCGACGCCGCGUGAGUGAGGAAGGCCCUCGGGUUGUAAAGCUCUGUCAGGAGUUAAGAAAUGUAAGUGUGCUAAUACCACAUUUAUUUGACGAAGGCUCCAAAGGAAGCCACGGCUAACUCUGUGCCAGCAGCCGCGGUAAUACAGAGGUGGCAAGCGUUGUUCGGAAUUAUUGGGCGUAAAGAGCACGUAGGUGGGUUUGUAAGUCAGAUGUGAAAGCCUUCUGUUCAACGGAAGAAUUGCAUCUGAAACUGCGAGUCUUGAGUGUAGGAGGGGAGAAUGGAACUUCUGGUGGAGCGGUGAAAUGCGUAGAUAUCAGAAGGAACGCCGGCGGCGAAAGCGAUUCUCUGGCCUAUUACUGACACUCAGUGUGCGAAAGCUAGGGGAGCAAACGGGAUUAGAUACCCCGGUAGUCCUAGCCGUAAACGAUGGGCACUAAGUAGAGGGAAUUACCGAUGUUCUCUCUGCCGUAGCUAACGCAUUAAGUGCCCCGCCUGGGGAGUACGGCCGCAAGGCUAAAACUCAAAAGAAGUGACGGGGGCUCGCACAAGCGGUGGAGCAUGUGGCUUAAUUCGAUGCACCGCGAAAAACCUUACCGGGGCUUGACAUGGUAGAAGUAGGAACCCGAAAGGGUAACGAACGGUAUCCAGUCCGUAGCUAUCACAGGUGUUGCAUGGCUGUCGUCAGCUCGUGUCGUGAGACGUUGGGUUAAGUCCCCUAACGAGCGAAACCCUUGUUUUUAGUUACCAGCGGGUUGUGCCGGGUACUCUAGAAAGACUGCCGUCGUCAAGACGGAGGAAGGUGGGGAUGACGUCAAGUCAUCAUGGCCCUUAUGCCCCGGGCUGCACACGUGCUACAAUGGUCGGUACAAACGGAAGCGAAGCCGAGAGGUGAAGCGAAUCCUAAAAAGCCGAUCUCAGUUCGGAUUGGAGGCUGAAAUUCGCCUCCAUGAAGUUGGAAUCGCUAGUAAUCGCGGAUCAGCAAUGCCGCGGUGAAUAUGUUCCCGAGCCUUGUACACACCGCCCGUCAAGCCACCCAAGCAGGAUGCACCCGAAAACAUUAUAUCUAACCAGGUUUACCUGGGGGAAAGUGUUGAAGGAGUGUUUUGUGAGGAGGACUAAGUCGUAACAAGGUAGUCGUAGGAGAACCUGCGGCUGGAUCACCUCCUUU
Molecule: ribosomal RNA, 1572 nt
Filed under: Candidatus Scalindua sp.
Lineage: Bacteria; Pseudomonadati; Planctomycetota; Candidatus Brocadiia; Candidatus Brocadiales; Candidatus Scalinduaceae
Description: bacterial SSU rRNA
Rfam family: Bacterial small subunit ribosomal RNA
Source: RNAcentral